CGGCCGUGCAGGGCCUGGCCUGCCCCGCUCCCCUUGGAGAUGACGGGCGGGCGGAGAGAGGGAUUGGGGACCGCUGCCUCGCUGAACGUUUUGGGCCCGUCUCGCCCCGCCGGCUUCCCUUCUUGGGGUCGCGUUUGCCUACGGCCUUGGUGGGCCCGCUUUGUGAAGCGAGGAGAAGGCUUUGGUGUCCCGGGAGGGGGGGAGCGGCCGUCACCGGACUACGUGCGGACAGUGCCGCAAGGUUUGGGGCCUGGCGGCGUGGAAGCGCCGGGAAGGGGCGGGAGGAAGGUGUCGCUGUGUUCCCGCCGGCCCGGAGGCGAGUGCAGGGAGGGGAUUUAGGGAGCGCUGGGCCGGAGCCAAGGUAGGCCGUGAGGAGCUGUUGCAGGGACAGAGCGGGAGAUGGGAAGAGGGAGAUUCCCGUGAAGAGCUGGAGUAGGGCGAGAGGCCCCUGUUGUGGCCGGCGAGCUCCGCCCGGCGAGGUGCUCUGCAGCGGUGGAGACCCCAGAGCGGGCAGCGCUGUGUCUGCAGCGAGAGGAAAUGGGAGGGCUUUGUGGUGCCUCCGGCCGGGAGGACUGUGAGCCGCGUUAUGCAGGGCUCUGGGUGCCGACUCCAAAUUCACGGUCCUUAAGAAUGAAUAGGGCUUGUCUCAUCUCUGGGUUUGUUUUGGUUUGUUUUUUUGGGGGGCUGGAGAGUGGUUAUAGGGGAGGAGCUACAGAAGCAAUAACCAGCAAUUACGAAGUUUGCCUUAAAUCGGGUUAUGAAGAUGCAACUAACAGUUGAUUUUUUUGAAGAAGAGCAACAGAAUAUGACUGUGAUGUGAUGAGAGAGGUGGUUUUGCUACACUUGAUGUCUGGUAAUGCACUAAAUAAGAGCUGAAACAUAAUACUGUCGUAUGCAGAACUUAUUCCAGAUGAAGUACAUGCUGCUGACCUUAAAAGGGUUACUAUGAACACUUUUUUUGGUAAGUGUUUUGGAGCCAAAAUUUGACAGAAAAAAACUGUAAUUCAGUGCUCUGAGGCCUAGUUGAAGCUCUGAAACAUCUGUACAGCUUCUCCAAGUUGACGGAAACUGAGUAUUUGUCGCUCCUGACUUGCUGUUGGGCUGUUUAGUUAGCUGUGCCUUUAAGCACUGGGCUUAGUAAUAGUGGGCACCAUACUCAAAGGUUAAGAUUCACCUGCUGAAGUACUGUACAAGUAAGUGAAACCAGAGAGCUAGUCUCUAUCCUUCUGGUGUUUUGAAUUCUGUGUGUUACCCAUUCAGUGUUAAUAAAUGUCCCAUCAUUUUUAGGCUUGGGUAAGCUUUUUGUUAAAGACAUCUGGUGCUCAACAAAACUUGCAUUCUGCUGAGCCUUAUGCUGCCUCUGGUAAAGCAACUACCGUUGGAAUCCUGGUAGACUGUUGUCUCCGUGCUGUGCAGAAAGAUAAACACUGAGCUAUUGGUUUGAUCCUUAGUGGAAGGCUUUAAACUCAAAUACUAGCUUUCAAAAUAGCCAUUUGUUUAAAACUUUGGAGAGAUGAUGUUUUCUGGAGAGAAUAACUGAACUGUCUUAAAAGAGUAGCUUCAGAAUUGUAGCUUAGUUGUUCUUUCUACCCAGUAUGGCCUUACAAUGUUACUGAGUCAGUCCAUCAAUAAGUAAGUAGAAUUCUAGGGAUAUUUGCUUUUGCAUUUGUUGGAAGCAAGCUUUUCUUUUCAGCUUUCUGUUUUGGUUUCCUGAAAAAAGAAAGCAAAUAGUUGUCUUUCAGUUUUCCACAUUAAGAUGGCAUAAUUGUUACCUGAUUGUAUCUGAACAAAAGUUACACUGAGUGGGAAAUGCAAAUAUUCAUUUAACACUUUGGUGUGACCCUAGUUCACUUAGUUCAGAUACGGUUUUAAUUAUAGUUGACUUUUAUCAUAUUUUGCUACAAAUGAGAGAAUCUUUUUCAGUCUCACUGUUUGGUUACUAAAGUCAGCCUUAUUAUUUCACUGUUUCAGUGUUGAAAAAAAAUGCAGGGAAGCAUAGAAACAGCUUCUUUUUGUGUUGCUGUACCUGGAUUCUGUUUGGAACCUGGUUAUUGGCAGUUCAUUCUUGUUCUUCAAAUGGAGACCAAAAUACCAGAUAUUUAGUGAUGUAUUUUAUAACUGAGGUCUUAAUGAUCAUAUUCAAUAAGAAUACUUCAUUUUCUGACUUAGCAUCAGGAGGGAUUGCACAACAGUGCAUGGAUUUCCACACCGGCACCCCAGAGUUCUGGUAUGCUAUGGUAGAAACAAGGUUUGUCUGUAGCACCAAAAAUUCUUUUGGUGAUUGCUAACUUGAGGGUGUGGUUUCAGCAGCAGCUCAAAUUGAUCUGAGUGGAGGUUGCUGUUAAAAGCUGGAGUUUUGAGCUCCUGCUUUUGUUCUCCUUCCAUGUUGGCACCAGUGCUCUUUGCAGCUGUCCAGAUCACCUUGUUGAUCUGGCUGAGAAUUCAACUUUAGAGUGAAUUUGUAGGCAAAUCAGCUUCUUGAACAAGAUGACUGGCAGUUCAAGGACCAUGGUGAGAAUGUGUGGAAGGAGGGAAUGUUCCUUUUAAAUUUAGCUGCAGCAAUUCUAAUGUUCCUAUAGAACAUAAAAAUAAAUUUAUUUUUGGCUGAAAAGUAGAUGCAUGCUAUUUUAAUAGCUGUUUAUGAGGCUAUACAGAAAUUCUACAUAUUACGGAGUUCUUUAGAAGAGCAACUCUACUUUCUUGGAGCUCCUCCGUAAACCUUGUUCUUGUGACUAAAGUUAAUUCUACUGUACACACAGAACACUCAACUACAGCAGCUUUAGUUCGCCAGUAUGUUUUUGACUUGUUAAUGAGACAAAGGCAGAUGAGGAGCAUUGUCAAAAAUGCUAAAAUACAAACCUGGGUGGACACUAAUUAAAGAUGUGUAGGUUGUGAUUCAAAUACAUUUAGCAGCAUGCUGAUGGUGUUGGUGACAAAUGGCUCCUGCCUUGGAGCUGCUA
Molecule: long non-coding RNA, 2960 nt
Organism: Pezoporus occidentalis (night parrot)
Lineage: Eukaryota; Metazoa; Chordata; Aves; Psittaciformes; Psittacidae
Exons: 2
Source: RefSeq, a predicted model, not a curated record